CGUUUUCUUUUCGGAAAAAAAUUAUCUAAAUUCUCUAUUUUCGGCUAGAAAUAAGAAUAAAGUUUUAAUAGAAUUAAGAAAAAAGUUAAGCCAUAAAAAUUUAUCGAGCAGCUCACCCUUUUCCCCUUGUAUGCCGUCCCCCUCCCCACUAUUCUUUUUGAACCAACUCGAAUUUUCUACAACAAAACUACAACGAACAAAUCUACUACGAGGAUACACUGCAUAAUGCGAGAGAGCGAGUACAUAUGUACAUAAUACCCACUUCACCAACCGAAACUCGAGUGACGCGCUACACCAAAAGAAUGUAAGACGCUCCUCUUAACAUCCCGCAAUCAUAAUAUUGCUGGAACACGAUCACAAUACAAACAGGAACAGCCUUUCAACAUCCUUCUGUGACUUCGACUUCUGUGACUUCCACAACACUUGCACACUUUUGUACUACAUAAAAAAACUUAUAAAUAUAAAACAUUUUUA
Long non-coding RNA from Drosophila persimilis, 474 nucleotides. RefSeq lists it as uncharacterized. NCBI's taxonomy places the organism in Eukaryota, Metazoa, Arthropoda, Insecta, Diptera, Drosophilidae. The record is from RefSeq and is a predicted model, not a curated record. The transcript is spliced from 4 exons.